RNA transcript from Helianthus annuus (common sunflower), 394 nucleotides. RefSeq lists it as uncharacterized. The transcript has 4 exons. NCBI's taxonomy places the organism in Eukaryota, Viridiplantae, Streptophyta, Magnoliopsida, Asterales, Asteraceae. The record is from RefSeq and is a predicted model, not a curated record.
CAUCUGGAGGAUUAAGAGAGGCAAGAACACAGGUCAGCAACGAAUAGCAAAAGCUGAAAAAGAUUUAGCAGACGCUGAGCUGGAACUACAAAACGUUCCACCAUAUGAAACUUCCCGAGAGCAAUUUGAAAAGUUAGGUGCUGAAAUAUUGGAGCUGGAAGCUUCUGCAAGAGAAACGAUAUCAAAAGAAAGAAAAAGAGAAGCUUUUAGAAAGAAAUAAACAAUUAGCAAGGCAAACCGCAGAUAGGAGGUGUAUGGGCCUGUAUUAAUUGAGGUCAACAUUUCAACCCAGCUUCAUGCUUCAUACUUCAUACUUAGAGAGUCAUGUUCCUUGUUACAUUUGGAAGCUUUUAUCACACAAGAUUCUGCUGACCGUGACCACUUGUUCAGAAAC